AGAGUUUGAUCCUGGCUCAGAAUCAACGCUGGCGGCGUGCCUCAGACAUGCAAGUCGAACGAUUAAAGCUCUCUUCGGAGAGUGUAUAGAGUGGCGCACGGGUGAGUAACACGUAAGUAAUCUACCUUCGAGUGGGGAAUAACGUCCGGAAACGGACGCUAAUACCGCAUAAUGCAGCGGCAUCGUAAGAUGACAGUUGUUAAAGAUUUAUCGCUUGAAGAGGAGCUUGCGGCAGAUUAGCUAGUUGGUAAGGUAAUGGCUUACCAAGGCUACGAUCUGUAACCGGUCUUAGAGGACGGUCGGUCACACUGACACUGAAUAACGGGUCAGACUCCUACGGGAGGCAGCAGUCGGGAAUUUUGGGCAAUGGGCGAAAGCCUGACCCAGCAACGCCGCGUGAAGGAUGAAGUAUUUCGGUAUGUAAACUUCGAAAGAAUAGGAAGAAUAAAUGACGGUACUAUUAUAAG
RNAcentral lists this ribosomal RNA (467 nucleotides) under uncultured Acidobacteriaceae bacterium. RNAcentral describes it as "bacterial SSU rRNA". It matches the Rfam family "Bacterial small subunit ribosomal RNA", at positions 8 to 487 of the family's 1533-position model. The record is from RNAcentral. Lineage: Bacteria; Pseudomonadati; Acidobacteriota; Terriglobia; Terriglobales; Acidobacteriaceae.